RNAcentral lists this ribosomal RNA (253 nucleotides) under uncultured bacterium. RNAcentral's name for it is "partial 16S ribosomal RNA". It matches the Rfam family "Bacterial small subunit ribosomal RNA", at positions 524 to 776 of the family's 1533-position model. The record is from RNAcentral.
UACAGAGGGUGCUAGCGUUGUUCGGAAUCAUUGGGCGUAAAGGGCGUGUAGGCGGUUUGUUAAGUCAUGUGUGAAAUCCCUCGGCUCAACCGGGGAACGACGCAUGAAACUGGCAAGCUAGAGUACCAAAGAGGGGGGUGGAAUUCCCGGUGUAGCGGUGAAAUGCGUAGAUAUCGAGAGGAACACCGGCGGCGAAGGCGGCCAACUGGGCGAAUACUGACGCUGAGACUCGAAAGCGUGGGGAGCAAACAGG